This 675-nucleotide long non-coding RNA is filed under the name Olea europaea subsp. europaea. The record is from RNAcentral. Lineage: Eukaryota; Viridiplantae; Streptophyta; Magnoliopsida; Lamiales; Oleaceae.
UUAAGAAGUGAAGAAUCCCCACAGAGAACCAUUCAUCCUGUACAUACAUAUCUUAGCAUCCAACCAAACAAUCCAUAUACAAAACAGCAAUUCUUUUUCUGCAGAUCACAACUUCAAAAUAUGCCAAAUCUCAAAACGUAAUCUCAAAUUCAUAUAGAAGAAUAGCCUCCAUAUUUAUUUGCUUUUCCAUAGCAAGAAAUUGAAAAUGUAAUCUCAAAAUUCAAGAGUAUGUACUUAUAUUUUCUACACGAUUCACAAAUUAAUAGUAGGAUUGAUUGGCAUACCUUGAAGACAACUUGAAGAGCUCAAAAUUUUUAGUCGAUUCAGCCAAAAAAUUUUUGACCCAAGAUGAAUACAAUGUGCAGGACGAAGAAUUAUAUCACAACCAAUCAUGGCAAUUGUGGCUAAAUAAUUUCCCUCUUGAAAAAUCGACCGCAAGUUUCUUGCAAAAUCAACUCCAAUCGUGGCAAUCCUUGCUGAAUAAAAUUUCUUGCAAAUCCAAGAGAAAGAAUUAUAUCACACCCAAGAAAUUUGGAUGGUGGGAAAAUUGGAAUUAGGUUUGUGCGAUUAAACUAAAGCAGCCAAAUUGAAGAGGGAAUUACUUGGUGAAAAGUUUUGGAGGCAAGGAGGCCCAAGAGAAAUGUGGGUUUAUUUCUGAAGAAUUGGGAAACAUUA